CUCUUCGGCUUUUCGUGGAAGGAAGCGUUCCGAUGGUUAGACGAUCCAUUUGCUAUCAACACCCGCUAAAUGGAGGGCUGUGCAUGCCGUCGUUGAUGAUGUGCAGACAUGCGUUGUGACUGCGGCAUCUCCGGCGCUUCAAAGACGCCGGAGAAGAGGGGUGGUCGGCU
Molecule: long non-coding RNA, 170 nt
Organism: Octopus sinensis (East Asian common octopus)
Lineage: Eukaryota; Metazoa; Mollusca; Cephalopoda; Octopoda; Octopodidae
Exons: 3
Source: RefSeq, a predicted model, not a curated record